GUGUUGUAUGAAUGGAGAGAAGGUAAGCACUCCCCCUGACAAGGGUAGAAGAGGCCCUUGGGCCUUACAACCCACAUGCAGUUAAGGCAUUGCCACCUAUUUUAAUGGAAUUAGUUUUCAAUUCCA
Molecule: small nuclear RNA, 126 nt
Organism: Jaculus jaculus (lesser Egyptian jerboa)
Lineage: Eukaryota; Metazoa; Chordata; Mammalia; Rodentia; Dipodidae
Source: Ensembl